This 253-nucleotide ribosomal RNA is filed under the name uncultured bacterium. RNAcentral describes it as "partial 16S ribosomal RNA". It matches the Rfam family "Bacterial small subunit ribosomal RNA", at positions 524 to 776 of the family's 1533-position model. The record is from RNAcentral.
GACGAACCGUACGAACGUUAUUCGGAAUCACUGGGCUUAAAGGGUGCGUAGGCGGCGCGACAAGUUGGGUGUGAAAUCCCUCGGCUCAACCGAGGAACUGCGCCCAAAACUGUCGUGCUCGAGGGAGACAGAGGUGAGCGGAACUUAGGGUGGAGCGGUGAAAUGCGUUGAUAUCCUAAGGAACACCGGUGGCGAAAGCGGCUCACUGGGUCUCUUCUGACGCUGAGGCACGAAAGCUAGGGUAGCGAACGGG